GAAAAUUACAGUCAGCGACUUUCAAAUGAGUGACACAAUUUGUUUCAGCUGAUUUUCAGCUGAUCAACUCGUACAAACAAAUGGGCUUUAAUGCUUAAUUAUACGGGUGAACAAUGUACAUGAGGUAAUGCGUUUAAAGAAGUAAA
Bradysia coprophila is the source of this 146-nucleotide long non-coding RNA. NCBI's taxonomy places the organism in Eukaryota, Metazoa, Arthropoda, Insecta, Diptera, Sciaridae. The record is from RefSeq and is a predicted model, not a curated record.